UACGGGGGGGGUAAGCGUUGUUCGGAAUUACUGGGCGUAAAGGGCUCGUAGGCGGCCAACUAAGUCAUACGUGAAAUCCCUCAGCUUAACUGGGGAACUGCGUGUGAUACUGGAUGGCUUGAGUUUGGGAGAGGGACGCGGAAUUCCAGGUGUAGCGGUGAAAUGCGUAGAUAUCUGGAGGAACACCGGUGGCGAAGGCGGCGUCCUGGACCAACACUGACACUGAUGAGCGAAAGCCAGGGGAGCAAACGGG
RNAcentral lists this ribosomal RNA (253 nucleotides) under uncultured bacterium. RNAcentral describes it as "partial 16S ribosomal RNA". It matches the Rfam family "Bacterial small subunit ribosomal RNA", at positions 524 to 776 of the family's 1533-position model. The record is from RNAcentral.